RNAcentral lists this long non-coding RNA (1187 nucleotides) under Coturnix japonica (Japanese quail). RNAcentral describes it as "lncRNA (ENSCJPG00005013846.1)". The record is from RNAcentral. Lineage: Eukaryota; Metazoa; Chordata; Aves; Galliformes; Phasianidae.
CAGCCAUGUUGUAGCAUUACUCCAAAAUCUGGGGGUCGGAACCCAUGGGUGGUGUGAGCUGAGCUGCAGGCACAGCAGCACUGAAGUAACAGAUGGGGUGGUGCGAGCAGUGCUGUUUUCUGUUGGAUUGUGCAGAGAACUGCAUCUGUGCCACUGGUCAUGCUUCUCACCUGAAUUAUUUAAGCACCUUCCUGUAAGGGCUGGCUAUGCAUGCUUCUUCCCUUUUCUCUGUACAUCUCUUCCUCCCUGUUUCCUUCUUCCCCUUCCACCUCAACGUGACCAGCUUAUUUACAACAUUUCUGCUGUAGUCCCGCCGAGAUUCAUUUUCACUUUUUCACUGAAAAAUCAAAAUCUUUGGAAUUAGAAUCUCCCCAUAUUGAAUUGUCAAUAACAGGUGAAAAUUGCGCUCUGUGUGACAAUGGGAGAAGGAUGCACCAAGCUGGUGGCAUGUGACAUGGGCGCUGGUGGACCCACGUUUGAAACACGUGAAACAACUAAACAACUGGGACAAGUACUGAAAAAAAAAUGAAAAAAGCAGAGGAGAGAGCCAUGGACUGCUCUGUGUGAGAAUCCUGGGCUGGGAGCUCCGGUUUCCCUCCUACUCCCAGCUGUGUCUGGUCCCUGGGCACCCACACAUGCAUCUCUCCCUGCUGUUUUCUUCGGCCCUGGGCAGCCCUGAGCAAGGACAAGCAGGCAAUGCAUGACCUGGGUUGUGCAGGGCUGAAUGGGAGCUCAUCAUGUGCUGUCGACCUUUGCCUGUCCUCAUGUCCCCAGUGUGGUGGCACCCACCAGACCCAACCACUGUGGCUACCCCGGGCUAUUUGGGGAGAGGUUGGGAUUCACCUUCAAAAAAAAGGACUGUUCCUGUUAUGGAGAGGGACCUGAGUGCCAAUGCAGCUCUAAGCACAGGAGGAAGUUACGUGUGUUUCAUGAGAUGGCUCACCUUUAAAAUUAAAGUACUUAAUAACUUUCAAAUGUCAGGUCUCAUUAUUGCAUGUCGGUCAGAACCUUGUCUAAAGUUCAUUUGAUUUUUGGCUAGUAAAAGCACACAUUACAGAUCAAAAUAAUAACCUAAUAACUAGUUAGGAUUUUUAAUGUGAACCUCUCCCCUCUGCUGUGUGAGUGCUAUGAGAAUUUGUCAGGAAAUCACACACUAGCAAUAAAAAUACAGACGAAUAUUAUCUCCA